Molecule: ribosomal RNA, 302 nt
Filed under: uncultured bacterium
Lineage: Bacteria
Description: partial 16S ribosomal RNA
Rfam family: Bacterial small subunit ribosomal RNA
Source: RNAcentral
GCAGUCGCCGCGGGAAUACGUAGGUGGCGAGCGUUGUCCGGAUUUAUUGGGCGUAAAGGGAGUGUAGGCGGUCUUUUAAGUCUGAUGUGAAAGCCCACGGCUCAACCGUGGAGGGUCAUUGGAAACUGGGAGACUUGAGUGCAGAAGAGGAGAGCGGAAUUCCAUGUGUAGCGGUGAAAUGCGUAGAUAUAUGGAGGAACACCAGUGGCGAAGGCGGCUCUCUGGUCUGUAACUGACGCUGAGGCUCGAAAGCGUGGGGAGCAAACAGGAUUAGAUACCCCAGUAGUCCCUGUCUCUUAUAC